GAUGAACGCUGGCGGCGUGCCUAAUACAUGCAAGUCGAGCGAACAGACGAGGAGCUUGCUCCUCUGACGUUAGCGGCGGACGGGUGAGUCACACGUGGAUAACCUACCUAUAAGACUGGGAUAACUUCGGGAAACCGGAGCUAAUACCGGAUAAUAUAUUGAACCGCAUGGUUCAAUAGUGAAAGACGGUUUUGCUGUCACUUAUAGAUGGAUCCGCGCCGCAUUAGCUAGUUGGUAAGGUAACGGCUUACCAAGGCAACGAUGCGUAGCCGACCGGAGAGAGUGAUCGGCCACACGGGAGCGGAGACGCGGUCCAUACGCCUACGGGAGGCAGCAGUAGGGAAUCGUCCGCAAUGGGCGAAAGCCUGACGGAGCAACGCCGCGUGAGUGAUGAAGGUCUUCGGAUCGUAAAACUCUGUUAUGAGGGAAGAACAAAUGUGUAAGUAACUAUGCACGUCUUGACGGUACCUAAUCAGAAAGCCACGGCUAACUACGUG
This 497-nucleotide ribosomal RNA is filed under the name uncultured bacterium. RNAcentral describes it as "partial 16S ribosomal RNA". It matches the Rfam family "Bacterial small subunit ribosomal RNA", at positions 28 to 507 of the family's 1533-position model. The record is from RNAcentral.